UUGAACGCUGGCGGUAUGCUUUACACAUGCAAGUCGAACGGCAGCACGGGGCAACCUGGUGGCGAGUGGCGAACGGGUGAGUAACAUAUCGGAACAUAUCCGGAAGUGGGGGAUAACGUAGCGAAAGUUACGCUAAUACCGCAUAUGCCCUGAGGGGGAAAGUGGGGGAUCGCAAGACCUCACGCUUUCGGAGUGGCCGAUAUCAGAUUAGCUAGUUGGUGGGGUAAAGGCCCACCAAGGCGACGAUCUGUAGCUGGUCUGAGAGGACGACCAGCCACACUGGAACUGAGACACGGUCCAGACUCCUACGGGAGGCAGCAGUGGGGAAUUUUGGACAAUGGGCGCAAGCCUGAUCCAGCCAUACCGCGUGAGUGAAGAAGGCCUUCGGGUUGUAAAGCUCUUUCAGCCGGAAAGAAAUCGCCACUUCUAAUACGAGUGGUGGAUGACGGUACCGGAAGAAGAAGCACCGGCUAACUACGU
Molecule: ribosomal RNA, 480 nt
Filed under: uncultured bacterium
Lineage: Bacteria
Description: bacterial SSU rRNA
Rfam family: Bacterial small subunit ribosomal RNA
Source: RNAcentral